This 303-nucleotide long non-coding RNA is filed under the name Lotus japonicus. RNAcentral's name for it is "long non-coding RNA (LJAP_LNC001515)". The record is from RNAcentral. Lineage: Eukaryota; Viridiplantae; Streptophyta; Magnoliopsida; Fabales; Fabaceae.
GAAGAUGGUGAGGGAGUGAAGGAAUAGGAACGCGGAGCGGCGGAGGCGGCAUGAGAAGUGUUUUCAUCCAAAUCUGAUGAUGGUUGCUCACAAAUCUCUUCCUUGAAGGUGGAAGCUCUUGAUAUUCCUUGCCUUCUCCUAUAUGCCAUUGUUAAUUACUACAUCCACCACCAAGUACUGCCACCACCACCUUGAUGAGAAAACAAACAGGCAAAGUGCAACCCUGAUCUCUCUCCCAUUAAUUCAAGUUUCAACUCUUUUUUCCCUUUUUGUCAUCAUCAAAUAACAAAACACACAAGUGGG